This 447-nucleotide ribosomal RNA is filed under the name uncultured bacterium. RNAcentral's name for it is "bacterial SSU rRNA". It matches the Rfam family "Bacterial small subunit ribosomal RNA", at positions 329 to 792 of the family's 1533-position model. The record is from RNAcentral.
GUCCAGACUCCUACGGGAGGCAGCAGUGGGGAAUAUUGCACAAUGGGGGAAACCCUGAUGCAGCAACGCCGCGUGGGUGAAGGAGCGUUUCGGCGCGUAAAGCCCUGUCAGCGGGGAAGAAGAAAGACGGUACCCGACCAAGAAGCCCCGGCUAACUACGUGCCAGCAGCCGCGGUAAUACGUAGGGGGCAAGCGUUAUCCGGAUUUACUGGGUGUAAAGGGAGCGUAGACGGCGAGGUAAGCCUGAAGUGGAAGCCCGCGGCCCAACCGCGGAACUGCUUUGGGAACUGUUUUGCUGGAGUAUGGGAGGGGUAAGCGGAAUUCCUGGUGUAGCGGUGAAAUGCGUAGAUAUAUGGAAGAACACCAGUGGCGAAAGCGGCUCUCUGGUCUGUAACUGACGCUGAGGUUCGAAAGCGUGGGUAGCAAACAGGAUUAGAUACCCCCGUA